This 93-nucleotide ribosomal RNA is filed under the name Xenorhabdus mauleonii. Lineage: Bacteria; Pseudomonadati; Pseudomonadota; Gammaproteobacteria; Enterobacterales; Morganellaceae. The record is from RNAcentral.
GGUCCCACCUGACCCCAUGCCGAACUCAGCAGUGAAACGCCGUAGCGCCGAUGGUAGUGUGGGGUCUCCCCAUGUGAGAGUAGGACACUGCCA